CAGCCGCCGCGGUAAUAUGAAGGGGGCUAGCGUUGUUCGGAAUUACUGGGCGUAAAGCGCACGUAGGCGGAUAUUUAAGUCAGGGGUGAAAUCCCAGAGCUCAACUCUGGAACUGCCUUUGAUACUGGGUAUCUUGAGUAUGGAAGAGGUGAGUGGAAUUCCGAGUGUAGAGGUGAAAUUCGUAGAUAUUCGGAGGAACACCAGUGGCGAAGGCGGCUCACUGGUCCAUUACUGACGCUGAGGUGCGAAAGCGUGGGGAGCAAACAGGAUUAGAUACCCGUGUAGUCCCUGUCUCUUAUAC
This 301-nucleotide ribosomal RNA is filed under the name uncultured bacterium. Its description in RNAcentral is "partial 16S ribosomal RNA". It matches the Rfam family "Bacterial small subunit ribosomal RNA", at positions 509 to 807 of the family's 1533-position model. The record is from RNAcentral.